Molecule: ribosomal RNA, 261 nt
Filed under: Escherichia coli
Lineage: Bacteria; Pseudomonadati; Pseudomonadota; Gammaproteobacteria; Enterobacterales; Enterobacteriaceae
Description: partial 23S ribosomal RNA
Rfam family: Bacterial large subunit ribosomal RNA
Source: RNAcentral
CCAGACAGCCAGGAUGUUGGCUUAGAAGCAGCCAUCAUUUAAAGAAAGCGUAAUAGCUCACUGGUCGAGUCGGCCUGCGCGGAAGAUGUAACGGGGCUAAACCAUGCACCGAAGCUGCGGCAGCGACACUAUGUGUUGUUGGGUAGGGGAGCGUUCUGUAAGCCUGCGAAGGUGUGCUGUGAGGCAUGCUGGAGGUAUCAGAAGUGCGAAUGCUGACAUAAGUAACGAUAAAGCGGGUGAAAAGCCCGCUCGCCGGAAGAC